Molecule: long non-coding RNA, 206 nt
Filed under: Elaeis guineensis (African oil palm)
Lineage: Eukaryota; Viridiplantae; Streptophyta; Magnoliopsida; Arecales; Arecaceae
Description: long non-coding RNA (EGUI_LNC010931)
Source: RNAcentral
GGGGUAGGUAUAGAUCAUAUAUAGAUGUGAUUAGUGGGAAAGGCUUAUCUUAGUCCUUAGAGGGUGCAUUUAAAAAAGUUUAUUUAUUCAUGUCUGUACGCAAGGAUGACGCCAUUUCCUAGAAGGUAGAAGUGAGUGAUACAUAAAUAAAAUGAUAGAAAUAAAUGUAUGGAUAAAGUUAUAGCUGUAAGAUAUACUAUCGGUAA